AGCUCCAAUAGCGUAUAUUAAAAUUGUUGCAGUUAAAAAGCUCGUAGUUGGAUUUCUGGCUUGGUGCGCGCCGUCCGCUUCCGUUAGGGAGUGUGUGCGGUUGUGCGCCUGCCAUCUUUUUAGACAUUAGCUGUGCCCUUCACUGGGUGGCAGGUAGUGGCUGAAUCUUUUACUUUGAAAAAAUUAGAGUGUUCAAAGCAGGCUUGCGCUAUGAAUACAUUAGCAUGGAAUAAUAAUUUAGGACUCCCGUUCUAUUUUGUUGGUUUCUAGGAUGGAAGUAAUGAUUGAUAGGGAUAGUUGGGGGUGCUAGUAUUCAGAGGCCAGAGGUGAAAUUCUCGGAUUCUCUGAAGACUAACUUAUGCGAAAGCAUUCACCAAGGAUGUCUUCU
RNAcentral lists this ribosomal RNA (388 nucleotides) under uncultured Cercozoa. Its description in RNAcentral is "bacterial SSU rRNA". It matches the Rfam family "Eukaryotic small subunit ribosomal RNA", at positions 587 to 972 of the family's 1831-position model. The record is from RNAcentral. Lineage: Eukaryota; Cercozoa.